CUUCUUUCCUUGAUAUGAUGUUCAAACCAGGAAAAUGUGCAAAUAUCAAGGUUACCUGGGUCUGCUGGUCACUUCUAGUUUUUGGACUCUUGAAGAUG
This 98-nucleotide long non-coding RNA is filed under the name Pongo abelii (Sumatran orangutan). RNAcentral describes it as "lincRNA". Lineage: Eukaryota; Metazoa; Chordata; Mammalia; Primates; Hominidae. The record is from RNAcentral.